UGUUAAAAAUUUCAUCCAUUUUUACUAUUAAAAAUUGACAUAGUUGAUGGAAUAACUAGGCAGCUGCACAUGGCAUGCCAUGUGUGCCUUAUUUUGACGUAUAUGGACUUAUUUUUUAAUAAUAAAAUUUGAUGGAAAUUUUAACA
Non-coding RNA from Gossypium arboreum, 146 nucleotides. The record is from Rfam. Lineage: Eukaryota; Viridiplantae; Streptophyta; Magnoliopsida; Malvales; Malvaceae.